Molecule: ribosomal RNA, 425 nt
Filed under: uncultured prokaryote
Description: bacterial SSU rRNA
Rfam family: Bacterial small subunit ribosomal RNA
Source: RNAcentral
UGGGGAAUCAUGGUCAAUGGGCGAAAGCCUGAACCUGCGACGCCGCGUGAGUGAUGAAGGUCGUAAGAUCGUAAAACUCUUUUCAGCGAUCUUAAAGCCUGUCUGUCAACAACAUGCAGAUCUGACUCUCCCUGGAAGAAGCCCCAGCCAACUCCGUGCCAGCAGCUGCGGUAAUACGUCGGGGGCGAGCGUUAUUCGGAAUUACUGGGUGUAAAGGGUAUGUAGGCGGCUCUUCAAGUCGCGUGUCAAAGUCCAGUGCUCAACGCUAGGUGUGCACGCGAUACUGACGGGCUUGAGGGCUGGAGAGGUGAGCGGAAUUGCCGGUGUAGUGGUGAAAUACGUAGAGAUCGGGAGGAACACCAGCGGUGCAGGCGGCUCACUAGACAGUUUCUGACGCUAAGAUACGAAAGCGUGGGGAGCAAACA